GUGCUCACAUUGGCAACACAUAUUCUAAAACUGGAACAAUAAGAGAAGAUUAGCAUGUCCCCUGCGCAGGGAUGACACGCAAAUUUGUGAAGUGUUCCAUAUUUAA
This is a small nuclear RNA of Cynocephalus volans (Philippine flying lemur), 106 nucleotides long. The record is from RefSeq and is a predicted model, not a curated record. Lineage: Eukaryota; Metazoa; Chordata; Mammalia; Dermoptera; Cynocephalidae.